AACGAACGCUGGCGGCAGGCCUAACACAUGCAAGUCGAACGCUCGUAGCAAUACGAGAGUGGCAGACGGGUGAGUAACACGUGGGAACCUUCCCUAUGGUUCGGAAUAGUUCAGGGAAACUUGGGGUAAUACCGGAUAAGCCCUUCGGGGAAAGAUUUAUCGCCAUUGGAUGGGCCCGCGUCGGAUUAGCUAGUUGGUGAGGUAACGGCUCACCAAGGCAACGAUCCGUAGCUGGUCUGAGAGGAUGAUCAGCCACACUGGGACUGAGACACGGCCCAGACUCCUACGGGAGGCAGCAGUGGGGAAUAUUGGACAAUGGGGGCAACCCUGAUCCAGCAAUGCCGCGUGAGUGAUGAAGGCCUUCGGUU
RNAcentral lists this ribosomal RNA (368 nucleotides) under uncultured bacterium. RNAcentral's name for it is "bacterial SSU rRNA". It matches the Rfam family "Bacterial small subunit ribosomal RNA", at positions 29 to 423 of the family's 1533-position model. The record is from RNAcentral.